Molecule: long non-coding RNA, 1039 nt
Filed under: Serinus canaria (Common canary)
Lineage: Eukaryota; Metazoa; Chordata; Aves; Passeriformes; Fringillidae
Description: lncRNA (ENSSCAG00000007809.1)
Source: RNAcentral
ACACAAAACACAUAGAACCCAAGAUGAAAACCUUCCAAAUUUCUUCCUCCUCCCCCCACCUAGAUUUCCAAUUCCAUUACCACCAAAUCCACCCUUUAGAUAAUCAGUUCUCAAUUCCUCGAGAAGAGAGGAGUCCCUCUUGCACCACAGACUUCCCCAGGAAACAGUCGAAACUUCUCGUGUUUCCGUGUCACAUGUGGCACCGCCCGGAGAACAUUUUGCCAUCGUGACCUCUUCCUUCCAUGUCCACUUCUUCCUUCCAUGUCCAGUGCUCUCACCACUGCACAUGGACCAGAGCUGCUUCUAGGGUUUUUCCCUUUAAGGAUACUUUGUCCAGUUCCAAAAAGAGCACAGUCCCUCUCCUUUUGGGACACCUGUCCCCCCCAGAUUUCACCCCCUGGGGCCGAGGGGUCUCUUGAACAGAGAUCAUCUUCCUCUUCCUCUUCUUCGAAGACGGAGGGCACCACCACCACCCUCCUCACCCGUCGUCUCUGUUCACACUCCUCCACAUCACUGCACUCUCCUGGCUCUGAGCCAUCGCCUCCCCCUAGAAUGCAGUCUCUGUGUCACAGAAACACCAGUGGUUCUGCUGUGGCUACACAAGAAAAGUCCAGCCAAAGGCCACUCCAUCAUCUCCUCCCACCUAGGAUUCUUCUCAACAUCCUCUCAAUCUCAUCAACCUCAGGAGGAAUCAGCAUUUGCAAGGUUUCCAUCCUCCCCAGAAGGGUUCAAAGUCCCAGGCUCUGCCUUUGCUUCAUGAACUCCCACGCCUGGCUGCCCUGCUGGGCACCCCCCCCUUCUCCUUCACGCCGGCCGCUAUCACAGGCACCGGCUCUGGCUCUCUCCCUCUCUCCGGGGGGGGGAAUGGAGGAUGGCUGCCCGAAGCCCUUGCAAUGUUCUCUUCCACCCUUGGGCCCAGGCCUGGCCUACCUCCCUCCGGCCACAUGGCUCCCCUCCCCCCCUGCCCAGCUCGGAGCCGGGCAGGGAGGGUUGACGGUCUGCUCAGUCCCAAGAGGAACUCCAAGAGGAAGUUCCCCUG